Transfer RNA from Schizopora paradoxa, 78 nucleotides. It matches the Rfam family "tRNA". From Rfam's summary of the family: Transfer RNA (tRNA) molecules are approximately 80 nucleotides in length. Their secondary structure includes four short double-helical elements and three loops (D, anti-codon, and T loops). The record is from Rfam. NCBI's taxonomy places the organism in Eukaryota, Fungi, Basidiomycota, Agaricomycetes, Hymenochaetales, Schizoporaceae.
GGUUUCGUAGUGUAGCGGUUAGCACUCAGGAUUCUGAUGGAUGUUCCUGCAACCCCGGUUCGAUUCCGGGCGAGACCU